CCUACGGGUGGCAGCAGUGGGGAAUAUUGCACAAUGGGGGAAACCCUGAUGCAGCAACGCCGCGUGGGUGAAGAAGUAUUUCGGUAUGUAAAGCUCUAUUAGCAGGGAAGAGAAUGACGGUACCUGACUAUGAAGCUCCGGCUAACUACGUGCCAGCAGCCGCGGUAAUACGUAGGGGGCAAGCGUUAUCCGGAUUUACUGGGUGUAAAGGGAGCGUAGACGGUUGUGCAAGUCUGAGGUGAAAGCCCGCGGCUCAACUGCGGAACGGCUUUGGAAACUGUGUAACUGGAGUGCAGGAGAGGUAAGCGGAAUUCCUGGUGUAGCGGUGAAAUGCGUAGAGAUCAGGAGGAACACCGGCGGCGAAGGCGGCUUACUGGACAGUAACUGACGUUGAGGCUCGAAAGCGUGGGGAGCAAACAGGAUUAGAUACCCCGGUAGUC
Molecule: ribosomal RNA, 440 nt
Filed under: uncultured bacterium
Lineage: Bacteria
Description: partial 16S ribosomal RNA
Rfam family: Bacterial small subunit ribosomal RNA
Source: RNAcentral